Molecule: ribosomal RNA, 455 nt
Filed under: uncultured Sphingomonadaceae bacterium
Lineage: Bacteria; Pseudomonadati; Pseudomonadota; Alphaproteobacteria; Sphingomonadales; Sphingomonadaceae
Description: bacterial SSU rRNA
Rfam family: Bacterial small subunit ribosomal RNA
Source: RNAcentral
GUAGUUUGACUCCGUGGCUACAGAACGACGCUGGCGGCAUGCCUAACACAUGCAAGUCGAACGAUCCCUUCGGGGAUAGUGGCGCACGGGUGCGUAACGCGUGGGAAUCUGCCCUUGGGUUCGGAAUAACAGUGAGAAAUUACUGCUAAUACCGGAUGAUGUCUUCGGACCAAAGAUUUAUCGCCCAAGGAUGAGCCCGCGUAGGAUUAGCUAGUUGGUGGGGUAAUGGCCUACCAAGGCGACGAUCCUUAGCUGGUCUGAGAGGAUGAUCAGCCACACUGGGACUGAGACACGGCCCAGACUCCUACGGGAGGCAGCAGUGGGGAAUAUUGGACAAUGGGCGAAAGCCUUAUCCAGCAAUGCCGCGUGAGUGAUGAAGGCCUUAGGGUUGUAAAGCUCUUUUACCCGGGAUGAUAAUGACAGUACCGGGAGAAUAAGCUCCGGCUAACUCCGUG